RNAcentral lists this ribosomal RNA (712 nucleotides) under uncultured archaeon. Its description in RNAcentral is "bacterial SSU rRNA". It matches the Rfam family "Archaeal small subunit ribosomal RNA", at positions 125 to 838 of the family's 1478-position model. The record is from RNAcentral.
AAUAACCUCGGGAAACUGAGUAUAAUUCCCGAUAGAACAUUAUGCCUGGAAUGGUUUAUGUUCCAAAUGAUUUAUCGCCGUAGGAUGGGACUGCGGCCUAUCAGUUUGUUGGUGAGGUAAUGGCCCACCAAGACUAUUACAGGUACGGGCUCUGAGAGGAGUAGCCCGGAGAUGGGUACUGAGACACGGACCCAGGCCCUAUGGGGCGCAGCAGGCGAGAAAACUUUGCAAUGUGCGAAAGCACGACAAGGUUAAUCCGAGUGGUUUCUGCUAAAGGAACCUUUUGUUAGUCCUAGAAACACUAACGAAUAAGGGGUGGGCAAGUUCUGGUGUCAGCCGCCGCGGUAAAACCAGCACCUCAAGUGGUCAGGAUGAUUAUUGGGCCUAAAGCAUCCGUAGCCGGCUCUGUAAGUUUUCGGUUAAAUCUGUACGCUCAACGUACAGGCUGCCGGGAAUACUGCAGAGCUAGGGAGUGGGAGAGGUAGACGGUACUCGGGAGGAAGGGGUAAAAUCCUUUGAUCUCUCGAUGACCACCUGUGGCGAAGGCGGUCUACCAGAACACGUCCGACGGUGAGGGAUGAAAGCUGGGGGAGCAAACCGGAUUAGAUACCCGGGUAGUCCCAGCUGUAAACUAUGCAAACUCAGUGAUGCAUUGACUUGUGGUCAAUGCAGUGCUGCAGGGAAGCCGUUAAGUUUGCCGCCUGGGAAGUAC